This 474-nucleotide ribosomal RNA is filed under the name uncultured bacterium. Its description in RNAcentral is "bacterial SSU rRNA". It matches the Rfam family "Bacterial small subunit ribosomal RNA", at positions 28 to 472 of the family's 1533-position model. The record is from RNAcentral.
GACGAACGCNGGCGGCGUGCUUAACACAUGCAAGUCGAACGAAGAGCGAUGGAAGCUUGCUUCUAUCAAUCUUAGUGGCGAACGGGUGAGUAACGCGUAAUCAACCUGCCCUUCAGAGGGGGACAACAGUUGGAAACGACUGCUAAUACCGCAUACGAUCUAAACUCGGCAUCGAGGAUAGAUGAAAGGUGGCCUCUACAUGUAAGCUAUCACUGAAGGAGGGGAUUGCGUCUGAUUAGCUAGUUGGAGGGGUAACGGCCCACCAAGGCGAUGAUCAGUAGCCGGUCUGAGAGGAUGAACGGCCACAUUGGGACUGAGACACGGCCCAGACUCCUACGGGAGGCAGCAGUGGGGAAUCUUCCGCAAUGGACGAAAGUCUGACGGAGCAACGCCGCGUGAGUGAUGACGGCCUUCGGGUUGUAAAGCUCUGUUAAUCGGGACGAAAGGCCUUCUUGCGAAUAGUGAGAAGGAUGA